This is a long non-coding RNA of Perca fluviatilis (European perch), 532 nucleotides long. RefSeq lists it as uncharacterized. NCBI's taxonomy places the organism in Eukaryota, Metazoa, Chordata, Actinopteri, Perciformes, Percidae. The record is from RefSeq and is a predicted model, not a curated record. The transcript is spliced from 4 exons.
UUGGCUGUUUCCUCUCCUCUCGUUGGCUGUUUCCUCUCCUCUUGUUGGCUGUUUCCUCUCCUCUUGUUGGCUGUUUCUGAGAAGUAAAGCGUGGAAAUCUUGUGGAGUCAACACGUUGGAAGAAUCGCUCAUCUGUGGGACGAGACCCUUCUGACUUCAGGACGUCCGUCUGAAUUAGUUCCCCCUGAAGAACAAGAAUGAGUUCUCCACAAAAGCUCAUCUGUGGGACGAGACCCUUCUGACUUCAGGACGUCCGUCUUGAAUUAGUUCCCCCUGAAGAACAAGAAUGAGUUCUCCACAAAAGAAACGGAGAGGAAAAGGAGUCAAACGUCACCACUGUCAGCACUGUGACAAAUCCUUCACAACAUCAGGACAUUUAAAGAUUCAUCAGAGAGUUCACACUGGAGACAAACCAUACAGCUGUGAUCAAUGUGGGGCAGCUUUCACACAGCAGAGUACCCUAAAAAGACAUCAACACAUUCACACUGGAGAGAAGCCAUACUGGUGUGAACAUUGCGGGGAAACUUUUCAG